Marmota monax (woodchuck) is the source of this 894-nucleotide long non-coding RNA. RefSeq lists it as uncharacterized. NCBI's taxonomy places the organism in Eukaryota, Metazoa, Chordata, Mammalia, Rodentia, Sciuridae. The transcript has 4 exons. The record is from RefSeq and is a predicted model, not a curated record.
CCAUGGAGGGCUGCCUGUACUACAGAACGCUGGCCCCCAGCAGGACGCUUUGGAUUUGUUUUUCACUGAGAUGCUUUCCCUACCAGGUCUGUGCCGGUUAAAAUCAGCUUUCCUGUGUAAACCACAGGUUUCCCUAAGUCGAUUUUUCUUUAUUUUUUAAGUUUCUUUAUCUGCUGACCAUGCAUCUCUUUGUCCUGCACUUCCUGCUAUGUUCUGUUGGUGGCCUGAGCUGGCGACUCUAAGACUUUUGGCUUCAGACCUGUGCAGUCAUUCACCUUCAAACCUCUGUUACACCACUGCUGAUUCUGCACUCAACUACGCUGAGAAAUAAGCAAUUUUGACAUUCAGCAGCCCAAGGCUUCUUCUCUCCUUGAAAGAAUUAUAUAGGGAUUAACAGGAUGAUACCCAUAGACAGAUGGUGUGUGGCUGGAGGAGCUGGGUUAUUGAUGGUGUGCCUAUAUAUUUCAUCCCAGGAGUUCAUGCUGAAAGUUUGCCUUGAGUCUCAGAGGAGACUUUGGACUUGGACUUUUGGGUAAUCCCAGAACUGUUAAGACUGUGUCCUUAACUUCAUCAAUGCAUUAAUCCCCUUAUAGGGAUUAACUGGUUGGUAACUAUAGGCAGGUGGGGUAUGGAUGGAGGAGGUGGAUAAUUGAGGAUGUGUCUUUGGGGUAUAUAUUUUAUCCUGGGUGAAGGGAAUCUCUCAGCUGCUUUUCUCCUCCACACACUUCAGCUCGAUGUUCCGCCUCACCUCAGGCCCCGAGGAAUGGAGUAAGCCAUCUAUGGACUAAGAUCUCUGAAGCUAUGAACACCAGAUAAACUUUUCAUCCUGUAAAAUUGUUCUUCUUAAGUCUUUUGGUCACAGCAGCAAAACAAUUGAUUAAAACAAUUAUUAAG